GACCUUCGGGAGCUGUUACAGGUGUUGCAUGGCUGUCGUCAGCUCGUGUCGUGAGAUGUUCGGUUAAGUCCGCUAACCGAGCGCAACCCGCGUUGUGUGUUACAAGUGUCACACAAUUACCGCCGGUAUUAAGUCGGAGGAAGGUGCGGAUGACGUCAAGUCAGCAUGACCUUUAUAUCCAGGGCUACACACACGCUACAAUGGUCGGCACAAUAGGUUGCCAAGUCGUGAGACGGAGCCAAUCCUCCAAAGCCGGCCUCAGUUCAGAUUGCAGGCUGCAACUCGCCUGCAUGAAGUUGGAGUUGCUAGUAAACGCAGGUCAGCUAUACUCGCGUUCGAAUACGUUCCCGGGCCUU
Molecule: ribosomal RNA, 356 nt
Filed under: uncultured Anaerolineaceae bacterium
Lineage: Bacteria; Bacillati; Chloroflexota; Anaerolineae; Anaerolineales; Anaerolineaceae
Description: bacterial SSU rRNA
Rfam family: Bacterial small subunit ribosomal RNA
Source: RNAcentral